Molecule: ribosomal RNA, 256 nt
Filed under: uncultured bacterium
Lineage: Bacteria
Description: partial 16S ribosomal RNA
Rfam family: Bacterial small subunit ribosomal RNA
Source: RNAcentral
UACAGAGACCUCAAGCGUUAUCCGGAAUCAUUGGGCGUAAAGCGUGCCGAUAGGUGGUUUAGACAGUCUUGGGUAAAAGCCCGAAGCUCAACUUCGGAGUUUGCUUAAGAUACUUCUAAACUUGAGGGGCAAAGAGGAGACUGGAACGAACGGUGUAGUAGUGAAAUGCGUAGAUAUCAGGAGGAACACCGAUGGCGAAGGCAGGUCUCUGGGCUGACACUGACGCUCAUGCACGAAAGCGUGGGGAGCAAACAGG